GUUCGUAGGUGACUGCGGAGGUCAUUA
This 27-nucleotide ribosomal RNA is filed under the name Laccaria sp. AWW584. Its description in RNAcentral is "partial 18S ribosomal RNA". Lineage: Eukaryota; Fungi; Basidiomycota; Agaricomycetes; Agaricales; Hydnangiaceae. The record is from RNAcentral.